AAAGGGCUAUUUUAACUAAAAUAGAUAGCUUCGGCCUACCAGAUCUUAGAACCUCUAAGGCCCUUUU
RNAcentral lists this transfer RNA (67 nucleotides) under Ophioceres incipiens. RNAcentral's name for it is "tRNA-Arg". Lineage: Eukaryota; Metazoa; Echinodermata; Ophiuroidea; Amphilepidida; Ophiolepididae. The record is from RNAcentral.